UCGCCCUUCCAGCACUCCUACGGGAGGCAGCAGUAGGGAAUCUUCGGCAAUGGACGGAAGUCUGACCGAGCAACGCCGCGUGAGUGAAGAAGGUUUUCGGAUCGUAAAGCUCUGUUGUAAGAGAAGAACGAGUGUGAGAGUGGAAAGUUCACACUGUGACGGUAUCUUACCAGAAAGGGACGGCUAACUACGUGCCAGCAGCCGCGGUAAUACGUAGGUCCCGAGCGUUGUCCGGAUUUAUUGGGCGUAAAGCGAGCGCAGGCGGUUAGAUAAGUCUGAAGUUAAAGGCUGUGGCUUAACCAUAGUACGCUUUGGAAACUGUUUAACUUGAGUGCAAGAGGGGAGAGUGGAAUUCCAUGUGUAGCGGUGAAAUGCGUAGAUAUAUGGAGGAACACCGGUGGCGAAAGCGGCUCUCUGGCUUGUAACUGACGCUGAGGCUCGAAAGCGUGGGGAGCAAACAGGAUUAGAUACCCUGGUAGUCCACGCCGUAAACGAUGAGUGCUAGGUGUUAGACCCUUUCCGGGGUUUAGUGCCGUAGCUAACGCAUUAAGCACUCCGCCUGGGGAGUACGACCGCAAGGUUGAAACUCAAAGGAAUUGACGGGGGCCCGCACAAG
RNAcentral lists this ribosomal RNA (616 nucleotides) under uncultured bacterium. RNAcentral's name for it is "bacterial SSU rRNA". It matches the Rfam family "Bacterial small subunit ribosomal RNA", at positions 322 to 929 of the family's 1533-position model. The record is from RNAcentral.